GACGAACGCUGGCGGCGUGCCUAAUACAUGCCAGUAGAACGCUGAAGGAGGAGCUUGCUCUUCUGGAUGAGUUGCGAACGGGUGAGUAACGCGUAGGUAACCUGCCUGGUAGCGGGGGAUAACUAUUGGAAACGAUAGCUAAUACCGCAUAAAAUUGAUUAUUGCAUGAUAGUCAAUUAAAAGGUGCAAUUGCAUCACUACCAGAUGGACCUGCGUUGUAUUAGCUAGUUGGUGAGGUAACGGCUCACCAAGGCAACGAUACAUAGCCGACCUGAGAGGGUGAACGGCCACACUGGGACUGGGACACGGCCCAGACUCCUACGGGAGGCAGCAGGAGGGAAUCUUCGGCAAUGGACGGAAGUCUGACCGAGCAACGCCGCGUGAGGGAAGAAGGGUUUCGGAUCGGAAAGCUCUGUUGUAAGAGAAGAACGAGUGUGAGAGUGGAAAGUUCACACUGUGACGGUAUCUUACCAGAAAGGGACGGCUAACUACGUG
Molecule: ribosomal RNA, 495 nt
Filed under: uncultured bacterium
Lineage: Bacteria
Description: partial 16S ribosomal RNA
Rfam family: Bacterial small subunit ribosomal RNA
Source: RNAcentral